This 381-nucleotide ribosomal RNA is filed under the name uncultured bacterium. RNAcentral describes it as "bacterial SSU rRNA". It matches the Rfam family "Bacterial small subunit ribosomal RNA", at positions 29 to 414 of the family's 1533-position model. The record is from RNAcentral.
UUGAACGCUGGCGGCAUGCCUUACACAUGCAGGUCGAACGGUAACGCGGGGCAACCUGGCGACGAGUGGCGAACGGGUGAGUAAUGCAUCGGAACGUGCCCAGUAGUGGGGGAUAGCCCGGCGAAAGCCGGAUUACUACCGCAUACGACCUACGGGUGAAAGCGGGGGACCGUAAGGCCUCGCGCUAUUGGAGCGGCCGAUGUCAGAUUAGGUAGUUGGUGGGGUAAAGGCCUACCAAGCCUACGAUCUGUAGCUGGUCUGAGAGGACGACCAGCCACACUGGGACUGAGACACGGCCCAGACUCCUACGGGAGGCAGCAGUGGGGAAUUUUGGACAAUGGGCGCAAGCCUGAUCCAGCCAUGCCGCGUGCGGGAAGAAGG